Podarcis lilfordi (Lilford's wall lizard) is the source of this 82-nucleotide non-coding RNA. NCBI's taxonomy places the organism in Eukaryota, Metazoa, Chordata, Lepidosauria, Squamata, Lacertidae. The record is from the annotation of a GenBank genome assembly.
ACCUCCUGAGGUGAGAUAGCUCAGCUGGUAGAGCAUGAGAUUUUUAAUCUCAGGGCUGUCUGUCCGAGCCCUACACUGGGCA